AACUUCUCACAAAACUUCAUCAGACACCUCUCUCUCACUCUCUCUCUCACACUCGGUGACUCAAGAACAUCAUGCCAGAUCUCUCAAGAUGCAGUUUCAUGACUAGAUCUGUGAGGAUUUCACUAGAUCGAUGGUCUGCAAUUGUUCUAGGAAUCUUGAAAAUCUUUCAUCAUUCAAACGAUACCUGAAUCUCUAAUCCCGCCCAAAUCCUUUUCUCUUUGCAGUCCCGGUUCAAAUUUUGAAUCUCUAAUUGAAGCACAUGAAACCCUGGCCACAUAUUUUCACAUACAUCCCGAAAAGAUGAAAAAAAAGGCAGUUGGCACCAAAUCACCUCCCAUUCUCUUUCGGUUCUCUCUCAAUACACUAUUACCACACAUCGAUUAGCCCCUGUUCUUCGUCAUCACCAAAUGGCACCCAGGUACAUCUUCUCUCUGUAUAAUGCUCUUGAAUCAUUUUUGUGUUAUUAGUUUAGUAUUCUACGUUUAAAAGGGUUUUACUGCUACCUAGCAACCUGAAGUUGCAGACCUAGGGUUUUGAAUACCCAAUUUCAGGCAAAAGAAGAUUUAUAGAAGAAGUUAUGAGCGUUGAUCUUUGUGUCAGUUGAGUACAGAGCAGGAGAUCGACAUUGUUUCGAAUCUGUGAUUCCAAGUUGAAGUUUUUGGAAAUUGGGAAGACCAUGCUGGGAUUUCAGAAUUCUUAAGAGUAAUUCGUUUGUUGCAACUUUGAUUUCUUAAAGUCUAUGUCUAUUUAAGUGUUUCUUGAAUUCAAGCACAAGCCCCAAAGUUCCUGGUGAUUUCUUGUGCAUAUUCAAGAGUUUACCCCCCUCAUAUAUCCAAGGAUUUCAACCUGGUGAAGCUUUUGUGGUCCGAAAUGUGGCUAACCUUGUUCCACCACUAAAGCUGACUCCACAGAUUCUCCGAAAAUUGACAGUUUUUGGUGGGGCUGAGACAUCAGUACAGCCCGAGCAAAGAGAGGGAACCAUUCCAACUGGAUUUCGGUGGGCUGAGUUGCAGGUCACAAGGUAGAGGUUGUGGUGAUAUUUGUGCAGUUCAAAACAAGUCAGAUUGGGGUAUUGUUGUAAAAAUGGUCAGGGACCUGGAUGUGGGGAAGAUGAGUCUUUUCUGAUGGUCAAUCUACUGCUUAUAGAAGUUAUAUUGAAAGGUUCAUGGCCCUUGAUGAACUUUAGUCUGAUCCAAACUCAAAGAGCCUGAAGAUCGGUGACCUUUGGUGGCAACGGUCAUGAAGAAACUAUGGUAGCAGUCGGAAUCAAGACUAGAUGGAAGUGGUUUUGGGUUGCUAGGGUUCUGUCAUGAACCCAGGUAGUGCUGACGCCUUAGAAGAGCUCUAUGAUGAUUAGGGGUUGAUUCCAGGUACUCAAGAACAUAAUAAGAUAGAUGGCUCCUUUCAUCCAGUUUUGGUCGUUCAUCGGGUGCCGUUACGAAACCAAAGACGGUUGGGCAUUGUCUCUUCACUCUUGAAUUAUCAUUCGUAGCCUUAUCCAGUUUCUGUUUGUCGAUUUGUAUAGUCGUGGAUUUGGCGAUUAACGCUAACUAAAACAAUGCCGGCUAUUAGGGAUUGGUUAUGGUAUGUCUACUGGUCUGAUUCCUUUCAUUGCUGAUAUACAGUCUGAACAUAGGUAACUUUAAUUCAAUCAUUAGUGCAGCAGUCCGGUUUGUCGAUUGUUCAUUGUCACCGCCUAUUGGUUUUUAGAUACUAUUUUCUAAGUGUGUUUGGUUGAUUGAAUAGACUUGAUUUAGAGUUUGGGCAAAGGGGUUGUUUUGUGAUUUUUCUAUUAUGUAAUGUUAUAAUAUUAUAUGAAGUUACUAAGUUCAAUACAAAAUUUUGGGUUACAAAUUAGCUAAAUUGUCGUUUGGAAUGGUCUAUUUGGUGACUGCUUAUUCGGUUUGAUUAUCUGCUUAUUGUGUUUUGUUGCAGUAAUAACAUGGCAAAAGUGCCCAAACCACAGGGACCAAAAUGGCAGUUUACUCUUUUAAAAAUGAAAAUGAUACUCUUGAUUCAUUGAUUUAUGAAGAUUCGGGUUCUUCAGAUUUAUAUUUAUUUAUGUGGUAAUAACACAAUAGGCUGCUCUGAUUCAUUUAGUGAUUUUUUUUUUUUCCGAAAAAGGGACCAAAUUUCUUUUUCUUAGAUUAUCUUUUGUUAUGUGAUUUGCUAAAAAGUUGUUUUGUGGGUUCAUUUAAUUAUUUAGUGAGUAAUGUGGAGUUGUGGAAUGAACCAUUAACUAUGUUUUCUGUAAAGGCCUACUAACUAAAAUACAUAGAUUGGUAUCGGCUGCUGUUGAUUGUGGCUUGACAAUUUGGUUACUCUGUUUUAACCGAUUUUGUUUCUUGAUUGAUAUUGUGUUGCAAAUUUUAAAAUGACAAUAAUGGUCCAUGGAGACUAAAAAAUGGCAUCCAGUUUGGUUUAUACGACAUUUUUUCAAUAUAGGUCAGAUCUAUCAUACAAUGUGGAUAAAAAAGCUUUCAAAGUGAUAAAUCCUAGAAGAAGCCUAGAGGAGGAAUAUCUAAUCUGGACUAUCAAGCAAAGAUCAUUACAACCUGGUGGAUAACAUGAAAGAAUAGUUAUAUUCUCCACAAGGGAAAAUCUUCUUAGAAUCUCCCAAUUUGUUUUGGUUUCAUUAGACGGAUAUUACAACC
Molecule: long non-coding RNA, 2654 nt
Organism: Helianthus annuus (common sunflower)
Lineage: Eukaryota; Viridiplantae; Streptophyta; Magnoliopsida; Asterales; Asteraceae
Exons: 8
Source: RefSeq, a predicted model, not a curated record